This 428-nucleotide ribosomal RNA is filed under the name uncultured Gammaproteobacteria bacterium. RNAcentral's name for it is "bacterial SSU rRNA". It matches the Rfam family "Bacterial small subunit ribosomal RNA", at positions 958 to 1385 of the family's 1533-position model. The record is from RNAcentral. Lineage: Bacteria; Pseudomonadati; Pseudomonadota; Gammaproteobacteria.
AACGCGAAGAACCUUACCUGCCCUUGACAUGUCUGGAAGUUAGCAGAGAUGCUGAUGUGCCUUCGGGAACCAGAACACAGGUGCUGCAUGGCUGUCGUCAGCUCGUGUCGUGAGAUGUUGGGUUAAGUCCCGUAACGAGCGCAACCCUUGUCUUUAGUUACCAGCACGUUAUGGUGGGAACUCUAAAGAGACUGCCGGUGACAAACCGGAGGAAGGUGGGGAUGACGUCAAGUCCUCAUGGCCCUUAUGGGCAGGGCUACACACGUGUUACAAUGGUCGGUACAGAGGGUUGCCAACCCGCGAGGGGGAGCUAAUCCCGAAAAACCGAUCUCAGUCCGGAUUGAGGUCUGCAACUCGACCCCAUGAAGUUGGAAUCGCUAGUAAUCGUGGAUCAGAACGCCACGGUGAAUACGUUCCCGGGCCUUGUA